Molecule: ribosomal RNA, 440 nt
Filed under: uncultured bacterium
Lineage: Bacteria
Description: partial 16S ribosomal RNA
Rfam family: Bacterial small subunit ribosomal RNA
Source: RNAcentral
CCUACGGGUGGCAGCAGUGGGGAAUAUUGCACAAUGGGGGAAACCCUGAUGCAGCAACGCCGCGUGAGUGAAGAAGUACUUCGGUAUGUUAAGCUCUAUCAGCAGGGAAGAAGAUGACGGUACCUGAUUAAGAAGCCCCGGCUAACUACGUGCCAGCAGCCGCGGUAAUACGUAGGGGGCAAGUGUUAUCCGGAUUUACUGGGUGUAAAGGGAGCGUAGACGGCAGUGCAAGUCUGGAGUGAAAGGCGGGGGCCCAACCCCGGGACUGCUCUGGAAACUGUGCGGCUAGAGUGCAGGAGGGGCAGGCGGAAUUCGUAGUGUAGCGGUGAAAUGCGUAGAUAUUAGGAGGAACACCAGUGGCGAAGGCGGCCUACUGGACUGUAACUGACGUUGAGGCUCGAAAGCGUGGGGAGCAAACAGGAUUAGAUACCCUAGUAGUC